Non-coding RNA from Dermacentor andersoni, 1022 nucleotides. Lineage: Eukaryota; Metazoa; Arthropoda; Arachnida; Ixodida; Ixodidae. The record is from RefSeq and is a predicted model, not a curated record.
CCUUGCACUAAUAGUGAUAGUUACCACUGCAUUUAGAAAUGGAAAGCAUUCAUGCAGACAAGGAUGAUUCUUUAUAUUUUUGGCUACCACUUCAAAUGCCUCCACCAAGUGUUACAAUGCUGCACGCAGCCAUACUAAGGAUCUCGCAGCAACACCUGCAGGUAAAAAGCAGAAGCAGCCAAAGUUCUGGUGUGUACUGGACACUAUGUUUGAAAACUUUUAGGCAAGAAGAGUGCAAGAAGCAGACAUAACAACUGCAUUUAUUUCCAUAAUUCCCCAUUUGAAUGACCUUUUCUUUUUGCUUAGACAAUGCCUACGCCUAGCCACAGCAGCUCCCUCAUACAGACUCCGCAAGCCAAGAGGCCGUGGAGGCAAAUGCAGGCCGCCAGCACACCUCGAACAGCCACCUUGACUGCGGGUGUGUCACCCUAGUCGCCAAGGAAACAUUUGAGGGAAAGCGACAGGCUAUGUGAACAGCCACUUCUCCAUGUAAACGAUACUCUUUCUCUCGGAUGACUCCUACGCCUCGCCACGCCAGCACACUUGUGCACAAAGAUGCCGCGGAGGCACGUGCAGGUCAGAGGCAAGAAGCAGUGGCACUGGUGUCGACAUUCACCCAAUUUCUUUUUCUUACACUGAGGCAGCCAGCACACCUCGAACAGCCACCUUGACUGCGGGUGUGUCACCCUAGUCGCCAAGGAAACAUUUGAGGGAAAGCGACAGGCUAUGUGAACAGCCACUUCUCCAUGUAAACGAUACUCUUUCUCUCGGAUGACUCCUACGCCUCGCCACGCCAGCGCACUUGUGCACAAAGAUGCCGCGGAGGCACGUGCAGGUCAGAGGCAAGAAGCAGUGGCACUGGUGUCGACAUUCACCCAAUUUCUUUUUCUUACACUGAGGCAGCCAGCACACCUCGAACAGCCACCUUGACUGCGGGUGCGUCAGUAGAUUCCUGUUGUACAUAUGCUCAUAAUAAACUUCAGUAAACUUGAACUUGAUAAUAAACUUGAAGGCAAAUGGGA